AUACGGAGGGUGCAAGCGUUACUCGGAAUCACUGGGCGUAAAGCGCGCGCAGGCGGCUAUUUAAGUUGGAUGUGAAAGCCUACGGCUCAACCGUAGAACUGCAUCCAAAACUAUUUAGCUUGAGUGUGGGAGAGGAAGAUGGAAUUAGUUGUGUAGGGGUAAAAUCCGUAGAGAUAACUAGGAAUACCAAAAGCGAAGGCAAUCUUCUGGAACACUACUGACGCUGAGGCACGAAAGCGUGGGGAGCAAACGGGAUUAGAAACCCUAGUAGUCC
This 274-nucleotide ribosomal RNA is filed under the name uncultured bacterium. Its description in RNAcentral is "partial 16S ribosomal RNA". It matches the Rfam family "Bacterial small subunit ribosomal RNA", at positions 523 to 796 of the family's 1533-position model. The record is from RNAcentral.